UAAUUGAGCCUUGUUCUAAUUCCUCCAUUUUUCCAAAAACCCUUAAACAAUAUUGAGUAAUUCUAUAUAACUAUAGAAGAUUUUAUGUUAAAACUAGUAACAAGAAGAAGCACUUCUUUUAUAAUGCAAGUGUAAAUCAGACAGGACACACCACUGAUAAUUAAUAUCAAUGAAGAAAAAGUAGCAACUUAACAAGAAAACCCUACUAACACCCCAUGUUAAUCUAACACCAGAGCAUUUCAAAAAAGAUUAAAAGAAAGAGAAGGAACUCGGCAAAUAUUAACCUCGCCUGUUUACCAAAAACAUCGCCUCUUGAAUAAAUAUGAGAGGUCCAGCCUGCCCAGUGACCCUGUUCAACGGCCGCGGUAUUCUAACCGUGCGAAGGUAGCGUAAUCACUUGUCCUUUAAAUAAGGACUGGUAUGAACGGCACCACGAAGGUUAUACUGUCUCCUCUUUCUAAUCAGUGAAACUAAUCUCCCCGUGAAGAAGCGAGGAUAAACAUAUAAGACGAGAAGACCCUAUGGAGCUUUAAACCACGCAACACUUGCACCAAUUCCUUACAAAUUUCAGAAAACCCCCACUCACCCAUGCAAAAUGAUUGCCAAUUUUAGGUUGGGGUGACCACGGAGAAAAAAACAACCUCCACAUUGAAAGGAAUUAUACUCCUUAGCCAAGAGCUACCCCUCUAAGCACCAACACAAUGACAUUAAUUGACCCAAUAUUUUGAUCAACGAACCAAGUUACCCUAGGGAUAACAGCGCAAUCCACUUUAAGAGCCCCUAUCGACAAGUGGGUUUACGACCUCGAUGUUGGAUCAGGGUAUCCCAGUGGUGCAGCCGCUACUAAAGGUUCGUUU
This 857-nucleotide ribosomal RNA is filed under the name Vitreorana gorzulae (Bolivar giant glass frog). Its description in RNAcentral is "partial 16S ribosomal RNA". It matches the Rfam family "Bacterial large subunit ribosomal RNA", at positions 1422 to 2578 of the family's 2925-position model. Lineage: Eukaryota; Metazoa; Chordata; Amphibia; Anura; Centrolenidae. The record is from RNAcentral.